GGGGGAGGAAAGCCUUUGGGUUGUAAACCCCUUUUCUCAGGGAAGAAGAAAGUGACGGUACCUGAGGAAUCAGCCUCGGCUAACUCCGUGCCAGCAGCCGCGGUAAUACGGAGGAGGCAAGCGUUAUCCGGAAUGAUUGGGCGUAAAGCGUUCGUAGGUGGCAAUUCAAGUCUGCUGUCAAAGACAGUAGCUCAACUACUGCAAGGCAGUGGAAACUGAAUAGCUAGAGUGCGGUAGGGGCAGAGGGAAUUCCCGGUGUAGCGGUGAAAUGCGUAGAGAUCGGGAAGAACACCGGUGGCGAAAGCGCUCUGCUGGGCCGCAACUGACACUGAGGGACGAAAGCUAGGGGAGCGAAUGGGAUUAGAUACCCCAGUAGUC
This 378-nucleotide ribosomal RNA is filed under the name uncultured cyanobacterium. Its description in RNAcentral is "bacterial SSU rRNA". It matches the Rfam family "Bacterial small subunit ribosomal RNA", at positions 403 to 795 of the family's 1533-position model. The record is from RNAcentral. Lineage: Bacteria; Bacillati; Cyanobacteriota.